CUACAGGACGGUAGAUCUCCAGGAACGGGGUUUUCACUGCUCUAUGUCACGAUAUUACCUUAUGAUACAAUAUAAUAUUGCACGCUAUUGACAUUUGGACUUGUUUGACAUCGGGAAAUUUGCACAGAGAAUUGGAUUUAUUUUUGUGACGCACCGCAUGGCUCCACAGCGACUACGCCAGGGGUGCCCAACCCUGUUCCUGGGGAUCUACCAUCCUGGUUGGCAGCAAGAACAGAAGCCCCCCAGCUGGCCUGCACAGGAGACCGUGUGGACAACACUAACGGAGUGGCAUAGUGGAAGCGCCAUCAUACGCGCACAGGCAAGUCUCGUAAAGUAGAUAAGUUUAAAAGUUCUUUGUCCACAUUUUCCUGCGCCGUGUGUCUAGGUACUGCAUGGCAAACUGGCGAGCAGCAUUAGCUCUUUGCCUUUGAGUUAUCCGUCCAUCCAUCCGUAUAAAGAGCGAGAGCGAGGCAAAUUACCUGUCUCAUUCUGUCACGUCACUGACAUAUCUGCUUGCGUCUAAACGUGGGGCUGCCUGGCUGCUUCGCAGCUGCCGUUUCCCACUUACACAUCCAGCUCACCAUGGCACCCCCCUGCUAUGUAAUGACACUUCACAAUGAUUCUGCUGGCAGAUUGAUCAACUACAUGGAAAUGCACGGUGCGGGAAUGUGC
Long non-coding RNA from Anguilla anguilla (European eel), 672 nucleotides. RefSeq lists it as uncharacterized. The record is from RefSeq and is a predicted model, not a curated record. Lineage: Eukaryota; Metazoa; Chordata; Actinopteri; Anguilliformes; Anguillidae. The transcript is spliced from 2 exons.